This 1520-nucleotide unclassified non-coding RNA is filed under the name Hevea brasiliensis (rubber tree). Lineage: Eukaryota; Viridiplantae; Streptophyta; Magnoliopsida; Malpighiales; Euphorbiaceae. The record is from RNAcentral.
CAGGCAUACAACAAUUAUGCAUAUGAUGUAUUAAAAAGUUUAAGCUAUAAUGUACAAGCUAGCUUAGAGACUCUAUUAUGUUUCUCUCUCCAAGCUCUCCAAGCUUCAACUCUAUAAAGGCAGAAAUAUGCACUACCUUUGUUGCGGUCUAUCUUCCUGAAGCUCUUCACAUCUAUGUUGGUAUGUCUAUUUGAUAGCGAGCCUAUCUGUCAUGAACUUAUAGCCAACCAUCAAUACCAAGUUACAAGCUUGUCAUGACUACAAUACUUGGUGGCUCAGCAACAUGAUUGUUCUCAGGAAAGAUACUCAUUUGUCCUUAAAAUCUGGCAGCAACGUGUUAACCUGAAAAUACCUGAAAAUUUGACAUAUUAUUGGCAUGAUCGUUGACAGUCCAUGGACUCUUGCAUCACAUGGUUAGUCAUUAAAUUCAACAAUUCAUAAACAUCUCUACUCCUGGGGUGAGAAGAGUCUCUAGCAACAAAUUCAUGGACUACACCGUUCAGCUCAAUCAUGCUGCAUCCAGGCAUUUUUGUCAAACCUUUCACUUUCAUCUCUCUCCUUAACUCUCCUACAAUUUCCCAUCUAUUAACCAUUGCAUAUACAUUCGAAAGAAGCACAUAAUUCAUGUGAUUAUGGGGCUCCAACUUGAUCAAAAUUCUCCCAACUUGGUCUGCCAACUUAACAUUUCCAUGCAGUUUACAAGCACCAAGGAGGGCUCUCCAUAUAGUUCCAUCAGCUUUCAAAGGCAUAGUUUUAACUACCUGAAAUGCAUCAUCUAAUAAACCUGCACGACCCAGUAGGUCCACAAGGCAUCCAUAGUGCUCUAUUUUAGGUUGCACUUUCUGAUCUUCCACUAGUCGAUUAAAGAGAUACAAUCCAACAUCAACAAGACCUGAAUGAUUACAUGCUGCUAAAAUGCUGAUGUAUGUGAUUUCAUUAGGUUCUAUUCCACACUCUAUCAUCUUGUCAAAGAGCUCAAUAGCUUCCUCUCCAAAUGAGUGCAUUGCCAGCCCUCCUAACAUUGAAUUCCAGACAAAUACUUUCUUAUCUUCUGUUUCCUUAAAAACUUUCCUAGCCAAGUCUAUUCGUCCACACUUGCUGUACAUAUCAAUCAACGCCGUUGAUAAUUGGGCAUCAGCUUUAAUCCCACUUUUAUCAAGGUAAGUGUGGAGCCAACGGCCUUGAUCCAAAGCUCCCAACUUGGCACAAGCAGAGAUUAAAGUUGUUAUAGUGAUCUCAUCCAUUUCAACCUCGGCAAUCUGCAUCUCUUUGAAAAGACCCAAAGCCUCACCAUAAUAACCCAUUUUUAAGUAACCAUUAACUAACGCAGUCCAAGAAACCAAGUUCCUUUCUGGCAUCUCAUUGAAUAAAUAAGAAGCUUCACUCAACAAACCAGCAUUUACAUAGCCGACAAGCAUUAUAGUCCAAGACACCACAUCUCUUUGAGGCAUUUCAUCAAAAACUCGUCGUGCCUGACCCAAAUUCCCUGAUUUUGCAUACCCAUCAAUCAAACAAUUCCA